GUUUGUUGCCGACAAGAAAGAAAUGGUUGCUGUAGACUUGAACAUGUACAGUUUUGUCAUGCCAGACGUACCAUGCCAACCAAAUGACAAUGACUGCGGCGUUUUUAUUAUGAAAUUCAUGGACAACUGGUCCAAUGGGGGACUCUCCAAAUCGAUCGAUGUGGCCAAGAUGAAGAAGUAUAGAUUGAAGCUAC
Vitis vinifera (wine grape) is the source of this 194-nucleotide long non-coding RNA. RefSeq lists it as uncharacterized. The record is from RefSeq and is a predicted model, not a curated record. The transcript is spliced from 3 exons. NCBI's taxonomy places the organism in Eukaryota, Viridiplantae, Streptophyta, Magnoliopsida, Vitales, Vitaceae.